AACACCAAGUUGAAAAUGUGCGCUACAGUAAACACGGUUGUUCGUUAGGGGAUAAGAAUCCCCCGCUUUCCUAUUCACACUUUUUCAUCACUUUUAUCCAUGGCGAUAACCUCAGCUGCUGCAGCAGUCCCAGCACUGUCCUCCCUCGCCCAUCGAGCUCCAAUUCCUUCCAUUUCCUUCCUCUUCCCCGGCUCCACCAGACCCUUUUCUCUUUCCCGCUCAUUCCGCUCUUUUUCCCUCACUCCCCAAGCUAAAGCCUCAGACAUCGAAAUCUCCUUUUUCGACGACCUCAACCCCGAAGACGAAGCUGUCGCCUUUGACCCGCCAACACCCCCAGAAGGGUUCAUCCCUCCACCUGCUUUCGACGAUGGCCCCGAGGAAACCGAGGACGAAGUCGCCGCUGCCUAUGAGGAACUCUACGGCCCAGCCUACAGUGGGGUCUCCGUUCUAGGCAACGAUGUUUAUGUAAUGGACUCUAAAGUGAAGAAAACGAGUGCGUUUGGGAAAGUUACGAAAGAAAAGGUGAGGGAUGGGUUUGAGGAAAGAGUGGUUCAAGUUAGAAGAGUGACUAAAGUGGUUAAAGGUGGGAAACAACUUCAUUUCAGGGCCAUUGUUGUGGUUGGUGAUAAGCAAGGGCAAGUUGGGGUUGGAGUUGGGAAAGCUAAGGAAGUCAUUGCUGCCGUUCAGAAAUCGGCUGUGAAUGCUCGGAGGAAUCUCAUUACUAUACCUAUGACAAAGUAUUUGACUUUCCCACACCGAUCCGAGGGUGACUAUGGGGCAGCUAAGGUGAUGCUUAGACCUGCCGCACCUGGUACUGGAGUGAUUGCAGGAGGUGCUGUGCGAAUUGUUCUUGAAAUGGCAGGUGUGGAGAAUGCUUUGGGCAAACAAAUUGGAAGUAAAAAUGCCCUUAACAAUGCCAGAGCUACAGUUGUUGCUGUGCAGAAAAUGAAACAGUUCCGGGAGGUUGCUCAAGAACGAGGAAUCCCCAUGGAAGAGUUGUGGAAGUGAUGGCCUUGGAAGCGUGCUUCAUCUUUUCACCUCAUGUUUUUCUGGGAAUGGAGAUUUACGCAAGGCUUCGGUAAUGUAUAUCUAACAUGAGCCAAGCUAAACUGGAAGAUUGGCAUCGCAGACUCUGUUCAAUGGUAAAACCGGAAGCCGUUAGCUGAAGCAUAGCCACCAUUAGCAUGUCUAGAUCAAUUCCUUAAAAAUAAGAGUAAGCGGCAAUUUGCUUUAUUCUCUGCCUUAAUAGCUUCUGCUGAGCUUAUCACAAUUUAUAUUUGAGAACUGAAUUGACCCCUAAAUUUUUAAAAUCUGUUUCAAUUGCUGUUAGUUUGAGUUCCAAA
Gossypium arboreum is the source of this 1343-nucleotide RNA transcript. It is a transcript of the gene named 30S ribosomal protein S5, chloroplastic-like, with no coding region annotated. The record is from RefSeq and is a predicted model, not a curated record. Lineage: Eukaryota; Viridiplantae; Streptophyta; Magnoliopsida; Malvales; Malvaceae. The transcript has 3 exons.